Molecule: long non-coding RNA, 295 nt
Filed under: Cucumis sativus (cucumber)
Lineage: Eukaryota; Viridiplantae; Streptophyta; Magnoliopsida; Cucurbitales; Cucurbitaceae
Description: long non-coding RNA (CSAT_LNC001309)
Source: RNAcentral
GCAGCUGGACUUGCAGUUGUUGUGGUGGCUGGGGCUGGGGCUGAGCUUGCAGUUGCAGUUGCGGCUGUGGCUGAGGCUGGGGUUGUAGUUGGAGUUGGGGCUGGGGCUGGGGUUGGAGUUGGGGUUGGGCCUGCGGCUGCAGCUGAGGUUGUAGUUGGGGCUGGGCUUGCAUUUGUUGUUGAGGUUGGGAUUGCAUUUGCAAUUGUGGUUGUCCAGCAGACCACCGAUUCCUACCCCGGCCUCUUCGAGCACCGGCAAUACUAGAAAUCAACGAGUGACCGACAUUAGCCAAGGC